Molecule: long non-coding RNA, 408 nt
Filed under: Monodelphis domestica (gray short-tailed opossum)
Lineage: Eukaryota; Metazoa; Chordata; Mammalia; Didelphimorphia; Didelphidae
Description: lncRNA (ENSMODG00000034313.2)
Source: RNAcentral
UCCUGGUAGUCUGUCAGCCUGGGGAAGGGAAUCUGUGAGUUGGCUCUCUAGGAAAACCUGGAAAACUGAUUAGCAAUGGGAGAGGAGAAAAAGUUGGAGCUUUGGGAAUAGCUGGAGAAAGAAGACCAAGAGGCAAAAAUUUGAGAGAUCACUACCUUCCAAUCCCUCCAAGUCAGAGGACCGGACAACCAAUAAUGCCCAAAAAACUCAGCCAAAGUUGAAAGGUAAAUCACCAGAGCCUCUUGCAUUACUUUAUCACCAGUUUGUAUAACUCAGUUUCAGAGAGGGAUCCUGGGAAUUUGGUCUAUGUUGUUGCAUAGAAAUUUUUGUUUGAAAUAUGAAUUACAAAACUACAAAUGAAUUACAAAAAAACUUUGUCUACAUUAUCUAAUUUGAGCCAAACAAAAC